Molecule: ribosomal RNA, 704 nt
Filed under: uncultured prokaryote
Description: bacterial SSU rRNA
Rfam family: Bacterial small subunit ribosomal RNA
Source: RNAcentral
GAUGAACGCUGACAGAAUGCUUAACACAUGCAAGUCGAUUCGAUUUACCUUCGGGUAUUGAGGAUGGCGGACGGGUGAGUAACGCGUAAGGAACUUGCCUCUUGGUCUGGGACAACUGUUGGAAACGACAGCUAAUACCGGAUAUUAUGAGAUUCUCGCAUGGGAAACUUAUGAAAGCUAUAUGCGCCAAGAGAGAGCCUUGCGUUCCAUUAGCUAGUUGGUGGGGUAACGGCCCACCAAGGCGACGAUGGAUAGCCGGCCUGAGAGGGUGAACGGCCACAAGGGGACUGAGACACGGCCCUUACUCCUACGGGAGGCAGCAGUGGGGAAUAUUGGACAAUGGGCCACAAGCCUGAUCCAGCAAUUCUGUGUGCACGAUGAAGGUCUUCGGAUUGUAAAGUGCUUUCAGUUGGGAAGAAGAAAGUGACGGUACCAACAGAAGAAGCGACGGCUAAAUACGUGCCAGCAGCCGCGGUAAUACGUAUGUCGCAAGCGUUAUCCGGAUUUAUUGGGCGUAAAGCGCGUCUAGGCGGAAAAAUAAGUCUGAUGUUAAAAUGCGGGGCUCAACUCCGUAUUGCGUUGGAAACUGUUUUUCUAGAGUACUGGANAGGUGGGCGGAACUACAAGUGUAGAGGUGAAAUUCGUAGAUAUUUGUAGGAAUGCCGAUGGAGAAGUCAGCUCACUGGACAGANACUGACGCUAAA